UUGAUCAUUCAAUUCUUCUCGGACAUAAGGCUUUGGGGCAUGAAGGCGGCGCCCGGAAGUGGGGGGGCACCGAAGCACGUCUGGCUCUGUUCCACGAGGGUGAUGGGGUUUCGAAGGCACGGAGGCCAUUCGCCAAUGAUCCCUCCGCAGGUUCACCUACGGAGA
RNAcentral lists this unclassified non-coding RNA (165 nucleotides) under uncultured fungus. RNAcentral's name for it is "sequence contains ITS1". Lineage: Eukaryota; Fungi. The record is from RNAcentral.